CCUACGGGUGGCAGCAGUGGGGAAUAUUGCACAAUGGGGGAAACCCUGAUGCAGCGACGCAGCGUGAGUGAAGAAGUAUUUCGGGACGGAAAGCUCUAUCAGCAGGGAAGAAAAUGACCGUACGUGACUAAGAAGUCCCGGCUAACUACGUGCCAGCAGCCGCGGUAAUACGUAGGGGGCAAGCGUUAUCCGGAUUUACUGGGUGUAAAGGGAGCGUAGACGGCAGCGCAAGGGUGGAGUGAAAUCCCAUGGCUUAACCAUGGAACUGCUUUGGAAACUGUGCAGCUAGAGUGCAGGAGAGGUAAGCGGAAUUCCUAGUGUAGCGGUGAAAUGCGUAGAUAUUAGGAGGAACACCAGUGGCGAAGGCGGGUGACUGGACUGUAACUGACGUUGAGGCUCGAAAGCGUGGGUAGCAAACAGGAUUAGAUACCCUUGUAGUC
RNAcentral lists this ribosomal RNA (440 nucleotides) under uncultured bacterium. RNAcentral describes it as "partial 16S ribosomal RNA". It matches the Rfam family "Bacterial small subunit ribosomal RNA", at positions 338 to 795 of the family's 1533-position model. The record is from RNAcentral.